UACGUAGGGGUCGAGCGUUGUCCGGAUUUAUUGGGCGUAAAGAGCGUGUAGGCGGUUUGGUAGGUCCGUUGUGAAAACUCGAGGCUCAACCUCGAGACGCCGGCGGAAACCAUCAGGCUAGAGUCCGGAAGAGGAGAGUGGAAUUCCUGGUGUAGCGGUGAAAUGCGCAGAUAUCAGGAAGAACACCCGUGGCUAAGGCGGCUCUCUAGUACGGUACUGACGCUGAGACGCGAAAGCGUGGGGAGCGAACAGG
RNAcentral lists this ribosomal RNA (253 nucleotides) under uncultured bacterium. Its description in RNAcentral is "partial 16S ribosomal RNA". It matches the Rfam family "Bacterial small subunit ribosomal RNA", at positions 524 to 776 of the family's 1533-position model. The record is from RNAcentral.